Molecule: long non-coding RNA, 893 nt
Filed under: Salvia miltiorrhiza (redroot sage)
Lineage: Eukaryota; Viridiplantae; Streptophyta; Magnoliopsida; Lamiales; Lamiaceae
Description: long non-coding RNA (SMIL_LNC013781)
Source: RNAcentral
UAUUUAUUUAAAUAAUGUAAAAUAUUAGAGAAACCCUACACGUUUACACUAUUUUUUCUGUAUAAAUAACUUCCCACCUCCUUAAACAAACGUACAGAAAAUUAAAUUAAAUAAAAUUUAAAUUGGCUACACAACAUGAUUUGGAGAUACCCACUAAUCCACUCACACCAUUACAAUAAAACAGUUAGAAUAAACAAUAUAUAUCAUCGGAUAUAACAAUAUCAAAGCAUCAUUCGUCUAAUACUUUUGUAAGUGCCCGAAAGUUUCCUUCUUCAUCGAUGGCUCCUGUGUUUGGCUUGAUCAAAGACCUGGAAGUAGGAAAGAGUAAAUUUGCAUUGCAGUUGCGAUUGGUUCGAAGCUACGAAGUUCCUCAAUUUCACAAUAUCAACGAAAUUGGCACACUUGAAUGUGUUUUUCAUGAUAAAGAGGUAUGAAAACUUUUUUAAUUUCCAUGUUUGUAUGCUUAGAUUAUAUUAUUAGCCUAUAUUAACUAAUCUUCAAUUGCAGGGAAAUCGAAUCCAUGCAACCAUUCAAAACUUGCAAAUUGAGAAUUUCAAGAAUCUCCUCCACGAAGGGAAUGUUUAUGCAGUCAUGAAAUAUAUUAUCGGAAACAACAACAUGAGGACGAAAACAACAACAAAUCGCUUGAAGAUUCUGAUUUACAAGGACACGAGAAUUGCAGAACUUGUAGAUGAUGGAUUCCCUACUCAUGUGUUGAACUUGAAAAGUUUUGAGGAGAUAGAAUCAAUGAAAACAACACCUGAUUUCCAAGAUGCUCCGCUAUUUGGUAAGUGCAACUUAUGAUUUAAAUUAUUUAAAUACUACAAAUAUAUUGAUAGCAGUGCUAUUUUUUUUUUUAGAUGUAAUGAGAAUCAUCAUAUCAUGCUACAAGC